ACUCCCCUUAGAAACAUUGCAGGUGAGUCUACUGUGUCAUAUGUAUGUCAGUAAGUGACAGAGAGGAGAGAGACUAUGUCUGUGCUCAGUGUUCCUACCUGUGAAUAUCUAAAUGAUCAGUUGCCUAACACU
Molecule: small nucleolar RNA, 132 nt
Organism: Grammomys surdaster
Lineage: Eukaryota; Metazoa; Chordata; Mammalia; Rodentia; Muridae
Product: small nucleolar RNA SNORA17
Exons: 1
Source: RefSeq, a predicted model, not a curated record